Molecule: ribosomal RNA, 507 nt
Filed under: Glomus sp. MO-G12
Lineage: Eukaryota; Fungi; Glomeromycota; Glomeromycetes; Glomerales; Glomeraceae
Description: SSU rRNA
Rfam family: Eukaryotic small subunit ribosomal RNA
Source: RNAcentral
AGCAGCCGCGGUAAUUCCAGCUCCAAUAGCGUAUAUUAAAGUUGUUGCAGUUAAAAAGCUCGUAGUUGAAUUUCGGGAUCAAUAUGUUGGUCGUGCCUUGGUACGUACUGGCGUCAUUGGUUCCUACCUUCUGAAGAACCUCGAUGUCAUUAAUUUGGUGUCUUGGGGAAUCAGGACUGUUACUUUGAAAAAAUUAGAGUGUUUAAAGCAAGCUCACGCUUGAAUACAUUAGCAUGGAAUAAUGAAAUAGGACGUUUGAUUCUAUUUUGUUGGUUUCUAGGAUCGACGUAAUGAUUAAUAGGGAUAGUUGGGGGCAUUAGUAUUCAAUUGUCAGAGGUGAAAUUCUUGAAUUUAUUGAAGACUAACUACUGCGAAAGCAUUUGCCAAGGAUGUUUUCAUUAAUCAAGAACGAAAGUUAGGGGAUCGAAGACGAUCAGAUACCGUCGUAGUCUUAACCAUAAACUAUGCCGACUAGGGAUCGGAUGAUGUUAAUUUUUUAAUGACUCA